RNAcentral lists this ribosomal RNA (460 nucleotides) under uncultured bacterium. RNAcentral describes it as "partial 16S ribosomal RNA". It matches the Rfam family "Bacterial small subunit ribosomal RNA", at positions 338 to 795 of the family's 1533-position model. The record is from RNAcentral.
CCUACGGGAGACAGCAGUGAGGAAUAUUGGUCAAUGGGCGCGAGCCUGAACCAGCCAAGUAGCGUGAAGGAUGACUUCCCUACGGGUUGUAAACUUCUUUUAUAAAGGAAUAAAGUGAGGCCCGUGUGCCUUUUUGUAUGUACUUUCUGAAUAAGGAUCGGCUAACUCCGUGCCAGCAGCCGCGGUAAUACGGAGGAUCCUAUCGUUAUCCGGAUUUAUUGGGUUUAAAGGGAGCGUAGAUGGGUUGUUAAGUCAGUUGUGAAAGUUUGCGGCUCAACCGUAAAAUUGCAAUUGAUACUGGCAGUCUUGAGUACAGUUGAGGUAGGCGGAAUUCGUGGUGUAGCGGUGAAAUGCUUAGAUAUCACGAAGAACUCCGAUUGCGAAGGCAGCGUACUAAACUGCCACUGACAUUGAUGCUCGAAAGUGUGGGUAUCAAACAGGAUUAGAUACCCGGGUAGUC